ACGGAGGGUGCGAGUGUUAUUCGGAAUCACUGGGCGUAAAGAGCACGUAGGCGGAUCGGUAAGUCAGAUGUGAAAUCCCGGAGCUCAACUCCGGAACUGCAUUUGAUACUGCCAGUCUUGAGUGAGGUAGAGGGGGGUGGAAUUCCCGGUGUAGAGGUGAAAUUCGUAGAUAUCGGGAGGAACACCAGAGGCGAAGGCGACCCCCUGGGCCUUUACUGACGCUGAGGUGCGAAAGCGUGGGGAGCAAACAG
Molecule: ribosomal RNA, 251 nt
Filed under: uncultured prokaryote
Description: partial 16S rRNA
Rfam family: Bacterial small subunit ribosomal RNA
Source: RNAcentral